GACGAACGCUGGCGGCGUGCUUAACACAUGCAAGUCGAACGGAAAGGCCCUGCUUUUGUGGGGUGCUCGAGUGGCGAACGGGUGAGUAACACGUGAGUAACCUGCCCUGGACUGUGGGAUACCUUCAGGAAACUGGGGCUAAUACCGGAUAGGAGCUCCUGCUGCAGGGGGGUGGCUGGAAAGUUUCGGCGGUUGGGGAUGGACGUGGGGCUUAUCAGCUUGUUGGUGGGGUAGUGGCUUACCAGGGCUUUGACGGGUGGCCGGCCUGAGAGGGUGACCGGCCACAUUGGGCCUGAGGUACGGCCCAGAGUCCUACGGGAGGCAGCAGUGGGGAAUCUUGCACAAUGGGCGGAAGCCUGAUGCAGCAACGCCGCGUGCGGGAUGACGGCCUGCGGGUUGUAAACCGCUUUCGCCUGUGACGAAGCGUUAGUGACGGUAAUGGGUAAAGAAGCACCGGCUAACUACGUG
This 468-nucleotide ribosomal RNA is filed under the name uncultured bacterium. RNAcentral describes it as "partial 16S ribosomal RNA". It matches the Rfam family "Bacterial small subunit ribosomal RNA", at positions 28 to 507 of the family's 1533-position model. The record is from RNAcentral.